RNAcentral lists this ribosomal RNA (434 nucleotides) under uncultured bacterium. RNAcentral's name for it is "partial 16S ribosomal RNA". It matches the Rfam family "Bacterial small subunit ribosomal RNA", at positions 29 to 507 of the family's 1533-position model. The record is from RNAcentral.
AGCGAACGCUGGCGGCAGGCCUAACACAUUCAAGUCGAACGAACCUUUCGGGGUUAGUGGCGGACGGGUGAGUAACACGUGGGAACGUGCCUUUAGGUUCGGCAUAACUCAGGGAAACUUGUGCUAAUACCGAAUGUGCCCUUCGGGGGAAAGAUUAAUCGCCUUUAGAGCGGCCCGCGUCUGAUUAGCUAGUUGGUUGAGGUAAUGGCUCACCAAGGCGACGAUCAGUAGCUGGUCUGAGAGGAUGAUCAGCCACAUUGGGACUGAGACACGGCCCAAACUCCUACGGGAGGCAGCAGUGGGGAAUCUUGCGCAAUGGGCGAAAGCCUGACGCAGCCAUGCCGCGUGAAUGAUGAAGGUCUUAGGAUUGUAAAAUUCUUUCACCGGGGACGAUAAUGACGGUACCCGGAGAAGAAGCCCCGGCUAACUUCGUG